Molecule: long non-coding RNA, 339 nt
Filed under: Cricetulus griseus (Chinese hamster)
Lineage: Eukaryota; Metazoa; Chordata; Mammalia; Rodentia; Cricetidae
Description: lncRNA (ENSCGRG00000025936.1)
Source: RNAcentral
AGUGGAAACUGGCAGAUCAAACACACGGAGCCAGUGCAGAGCAUCAUUGGUUCCCUCACCUCAGGGAAUGUCACCUGUGCUGUUUCUGACUUGCAGGGGGCGCAGUGAGGCUGGUGCACCAUCCUUACUUCCCUGCAGCAGCCAGUCCUCAGAAGACUCAUUCAGACAGUCCUGCGUCAGUGUGCCUGGCAUAUCCACGGGGACCGUACUUGGUGCUGGGAGUAUUGGAACAGAUAUUGCAAACGAGGUUCUGAGUUUACAGAGGUAAAGUUUUAUCAUUGCAAAUAUUCUCAUAUAAAUGGCUCUUAGUUAUAAACCAGUACAGUGUGUAUGUGUGUG